RNAcentral lists this ribosomal RNA (500 nucleotides) under uncultured bacterium. RNAcentral's name for it is "partial 16S ribosomal RNA". It matches the Rfam family "Bacterial small subunit ribosomal RNA", at positions 30 to 523 of the family's 1533-position model. The record is from RNAcentral.
AUUGAACGCUGGCGGAAUGCUUUACACAUGCAGGUCGAACGGCAGCACGGACUUCGGUCUGGUGGCGAGUGGCGAACGGGUGAGUAACAUAUCGGAACGUAUCCAAUAAUGGGGGGUAACGAGUCGAAAGAUUCGCUAAUACCGCAUACGCCCUACGGGGGAAAGCUGGGGACCUUCGGGCCUGGCGUUAAUGGAGCGGCCGAUAUCUGAUUAGCUAGUUGGUGAGGUAAAGGCUCACCAAGGCGACGAUCAGUAGCUGGUCUGAGAGGACGACCAGCCAUACUGGAGCUGAGAAACGGUCCACACUCCUUCGGGAGGCAGCAGUGGGGAAUUUUGGACAAUGGGCGCAAGCCUGAUCCAGCCAUUCCGCGUGAGUGAAGAAGGCCUUCGGGUUGUAAAGCUCUUUCGCAAGGGAAGAAAACUUAGCCACUAACAUUGGUUGAGGUUGACGGUACCUUGAUAAGAAGCACCGGCUAACUACGUGCCAGCCGCCGCGGUAA